This 467-nucleotide ribosomal RNA is filed under the name uncultured bacterium. Its description in RNAcentral is "partial 16S ribosomal RNA". It matches the Rfam family "Bacterial small subunit ribosomal RNA", at positions 28 to 507 of the family's 1533-position model. The record is from RNAcentral.
GACGAACGCUGGCGGCGUGCUUAACACAUGCAAGUCGAACGGAAAGGCCUCUUUCGGGGGGUACUCGAGUGGCGAACGGGUGAGUAACACGAGAGUAACCUGCCCUUGACUUUGGGAUAACUUCAGGAAACUGGGGCUAAUACCGGAUAGGAGCUCCUGCUGCAUGGUGGGGGUUGGAAAGUUUCGGCGGUUGGGGAUGGACUCGCGGCUUAUCAGCUUGUUGGUGGGGUAGUGGCUUACCAAGGCUUUGACGGGUAGCCGGCCUGAGAGGGUGACCGGCCACAUUGGGACUGAGAUACGGCCCAGACUCCUACGGGAGGCAGCAGUGGGGAAUAUUGCACAAUGGGUGGAAGCCUGAUGCAGCAACGCCGUGUGCGGGAUGACGGCCUUCGGGUUGUAAACCGCUUUCGCUCAUGACGAAGCUUUGUGUGACGGUAGUGGGUAAAGAAGCACCGGCUAACUACGUG